UAAAGCAAACGUUUCUGCCUAGCCCCAGGUUGUGAAUAUGGAUAAAUGGCAUAAAAUUUUUUUUACAACAAUCAACAAUGUUAAAUGUUUAGUUGUUUUUUUCUUAAAGGCUGCGGAGGGUGAUGGAGUGUAGAUAGUUAACGGUAGUAUGUACUUUCAAUCUAGAAAUGCGUUUGCCUAUAGUACUAAAUUGUAUCCAAAAAAAAGAGAGGUUUGGUUUUUGAAAAACAACGCAAUUGCCUAUGAUUGCUCUCAAUAAAGCUGACCAAUGAAUUGUCAAUUAGAUGCCUCUGGCAAGCCUCAGAGCUGAUGUUUGAACAUAGAGAAGAUCAUGGAAUUUGGUUUUGAGGAGAAACAUGUUGGACCUGUUAUGG
This 374-nucleotide unclassified non-coding RNA is filed under the name Hevea brasiliensis (rubber tree). Lineage: Eukaryota; Viridiplantae; Streptophyta; Magnoliopsida; Malpighiales; Euphorbiaceae. The record is from RNAcentral.